Daucus carota subsp. sativus is the source of this 1355-nucleotide long non-coding RNA. RefSeq lists it as uncharacterized. The transcript is spliced from 2 exons. The record is from RefSeq and is a predicted model, not a curated record. Lineage: Eukaryota; Viridiplantae; Streptophyta; Magnoliopsida; Apiales; Apiaceae.
AUUAAAGACAAAUUAUGGAGUAAUUAAGUGAUAAUCAUAAUUAACAAUACAGUAUAAAAAUCAAAGCAAUGAGCCAAACAUUCUUUUACCAAAAACCAGUGAAGGGAAGAGUGUUGGCCAGGAAGCUUUUUGGUGUAAAAUGGAGGAGUUUGCAACUCAAUCGAAUCAUAUAAUAUUAAGAAUAUAAAAUAUCGGGAAAAGACGGAGCCAGUUGUAUAUUAAUUUCGGAAGGUCUUGUCAAGCUAAGGACAUCAGGCAAGUUCACUAUCCCUCUCUUGACGUGAAAAUUUUCGUGCCUAUUUGAUGAUUGUGUGAAAAGUGUUGAUUGUGAAGAUAUUACAUUUCGUACCAAUGUGAAUCGAGGAAAUAUCUCCGUUUCAUUUUGAAGGCUUUAAAGAUAUUGUUCAUAUAGUACUUUUUAUAAUUCGAGCCCUCCCAUUGUACGGGAAUGAGCUGAUCCUAAUAACGAUAAUAUUUUGAAUCUUCAAAACUUGAGGUGAAUACAUUGCAGCGAUGAUCUCACCACAAUUAACUUACUCACUUUUGGAGAUCAUCUUAUUCUUUGGAAUCUAGUUAUUUUAAUUAUCCUUCACUUCUACCUUCGGGUAAUCUUUGUUGAAAGGGUGCAUUGUUCGCACUUCUUUGGUAGAGAUGAGUAGUGUUUAUUUGGGAGAAUUUUCUUGUAUUCGGAGGAAUCUAUUCAAGCUGGUCAACACGAAUUUAUUAAAUUCGUGGUAGAGUUGAGAAUUUACUAUCUGGUAAGGCAGAUAGUUUAGGGUUACAAAUGUUAACCCUUAUGCUAGCAAAUGAGAGUGGUAGGUGUGUCUUGUGUGGUUACGAUCAGACUGCAAAGAUCACACAGGAGAACGGUAUUCACGAAAUGGUGCUGAUCGAGCCAUGUAGUGUUACCGAAAGGUGGAAGACCAGCGUUUUCUUUACUGGAACUUGUGUUGUCAUUUGACGAUAGCUGCUUUGUUACUUUGGCUUGAAUUGUUUCUAUGCCUUACGUGCAUAUUCUGUUGAUUGUUGUUUUGCUCUAUGUGGACUUGCUGAGCAAUUUGAUUGCUCAUUCUUGCAUCUGUUUUAUUCCUGUUUGAGCAGUAAAUAGUGUGUAUGGCACAACUCAUGGGUUUUUGGCAAAGACAGGGAAAGGGCGCAUCACCCAAGCUGAUACUGCUAGACUACUCAACUUGGUAGUACGAGCUAUAGUUAUUAUAAUGGUCUGAAAUCAGACUUCCCUUUAUGUAAUAAAGUUAGACUCAGUAGGAAUGUUGUAAGACAAUCGACCCUGGACUUGUGGGGCAAGAGUUGGAUUGUAUUAUAUUAAUAUGUAAUGCAAGUAUUGUUUUGAGCCA